Molecule: ribosomal RNA, 253 nt
Filed under: uncultured bacterium
Lineage: Bacteria
Description: partial 16S ribosomal RNA
Rfam family: Bacterial small subunit ribosomal RNA
Source: RNAcentral
UACGUAGGGCGCAAGCGUUGUCCGGAAUUAUUGGGCGUAAAGAGCUCGUAGGCGGCUUGUCACGUCGGAUGUGAAAGCCCGAGGCUUAACCUCGGGUCUGCAUUCGAUACGGGCUAGCUAGAGUGUGGUAGGGGAGAUCGGAAUUCCUGGUGUAGCGGUGAAAUGCGCAGAUAUCAGGAGGAACACCGGUGGCGAAGGCGGAUCUCUGGGCCAUUACUGACGCUGAGGAGCGAAAGCGUGGGGAGCAAACAGG